CCAAAAUGGGCACCUCUACGGAAGAAUUUUGCUUUAAGGUGCUGGCAGAAUUGUGUGUGUACAAUGAAUCGCAUUAACAUCUGAAAAACCCAGACUGUCAUUCAGUGUAAAUAUAUAAACACAAUUUGCAAAUAGAAACUUCUAGUGUCCUCAUAACAUAAGCCGCUGAGGCUAUUGUUAGCUAUUUUUCCUACUUUUAAAAUGUAAUUAAGCAGGGCUAAAUAUGAACUUUAGAGUUUUGCUAACUAGUAUUUGGAACAAGAAUGGGCAAAAUAUGGUUUGUGGGCUGCACACCAACCCCCUCCCGUCUCCCCACCAACUAGACUGCAGAUUGUGCCCUAGGCAUUAUUUUACUGUUUAUACAUAUGUUUGUCCCCACUGGAGGAAAUGUGAGGCCUUUAAACCCUUUAGAGAAACAGAAAGUGAUCCACUGAUUUUGUUUCUUCAUGGUGACAGUAGUGUAUGGCCCUUCAGGAUCAGGGGGAGGGCAGACUCUCAGAAAUUUUCCUCCCCUGGGAUACAAUAUACACUUCUUCUGUACUUCUUUCUGCAAAGAAACUGCCACACAGUGGCAUGGCUCUUACUGCUGAUUUAUGCUUGUAUAAGGGAGAUCUUGCAAAUCUUAGCAGCAAACUUGCUGCAUAUGAACAAGUUAAUGGUUCCGUUCCUGGGCACAGAAAUCUAGAACCCAGAAACACAACUAAGGGGUCUGUAUAAUGAAUGUACCACCAGUUAAGUCUUUUGCUUGUAAAUGUGUGUUACAAAGGGUUCUGGGGGCAUCAGCUGUAUGUAGCUAUUCUCCUGGAAAAUUCAUAUCACAGAGAAAAAUCAGUGGGGAUAAAUCAGAAUUAGGAAUGGAAAGACAGCUUCCUUUUCAAAAUGAAUACGAAGGUUGGAAUUUUAUCCUCUAAAUGGAUAGCCUUAAGGGACGGGCAAAAAUGAAGUUAUGAGAGUAUGUUGUUGCAUCAAAGCUGAUUUUAUUACAAAACUCUGUAAAAGUUAUUAAUGAAUGUUGUUUUUUUCUUAACCUUUUUAUGGCCCGCACAACAUCAAACUCUCUGUCAGACUUCUCAGCCUUUCCAGUUGCAAGGAAAGCAAGCAGAGGUAGCAUUCUCCAAAUUAUUGUGGAAUCAGUGACAAGGAUUUAAAGAACUGUAAAACUACUUCUGCAGGCCCAAGGGUAUGUUUUUUCUGAACAGCAGUUUCCUAUGUCCUAUACAAACCCAUUUUGAAAUAUGGAGAGUUUGAGAAGGACAAGAUACAGGAGAGAGCAAUUCAAAGCAACUCAGAACAGAGGUUGCGGUAUGGGUGAAUACAAUUGGGUGAAUUCCAGACUGAGGAUGGUCAACUUCCAAAGGGAUAAAAAGCUCAGCAGGAGACCUCAGACUCUACAGAAAACCUCCGAGACAUGCCAAAGGUUGACAGUAAGAGGCUUUUGUGAUUCACUUGGUGAAGAGAGAAGAAGCGGGCAGUUCCUUAUCGGUGUCUAAUUCACACUGUCAGAAAGCAGAGGUUUUGUAUAACUAGUGUGCAUUUAUGACAAAUGGAAAAAUUUGAACAUGUAGCCUUAGGUGGAAGGCUUUGAUAUCAAAGGAGACUUAUGCUCUGAUGGCAAUCAUUUAAAUGCUGGAACAAUUAUUUUAAUAUAAAUUAGAAUACUGUUCAUUUACUUAUGGUAUUCAUUGGUAUUAGAUAAAAUAUGAAGUAUUAACUGCUGAGAAACAUGGCAAACAAAGGAAGUAUGAUACGUUAGACAGAAGGAUGAUAGAAAGUAAUAUGGGAAUUAAUAUGGGGACAACAAGUCAACAAAAACCGUGCUCACGAGAAGGUGAGGAGAAGGGGAAACUUGCCAGCAAGCGUCAUAUUGAUCUUAAAGAAUAACAGACUGGAGGAUGUCCAACAUUAACUGAUAUGAUAUUGGAAUAAAUGGGAGUAAGUUCUAUACAAAUUUCUGUGGUCAUGGAGCAACAUACAAAUACUGGAUGUUAUACCAAGCAUCAGUAUAAGAUGCAAUACAUUAAACAAACCAUACAUUAAGUGGCCCAGAGUGUGCCCAAUUUCCAGUACAGUAGCUUGUUUUUUAUGCCAAUGAUGAA
Pogona vitticeps (central bearded dragon) is the source of this 2096-nucleotide non-coding RNA. NCBI's taxonomy places the organism in Eukaryota, Metazoa, Chordata, Lepidosauria, Squamata, Agamidae. The record is from RefSeq and is a predicted model, not a curated record.